UAUCUCUGUAGAGUCUGCAUAUCAAUAAGCGGAGGAAAAGAAACUAACUAGGAUUCCCUCAGUAACGGCGAGUGAAGCGGGAAGAGCUCAAAUUUGAAAUCUUCAAGGUUCUACCUUGACGAAUUGUAGUUUAAAGAAGUGUUUUCUGUUGGAGUUUUGGUAAAAGUUCUUUGGAAUAGGACAUCAUAGAGGGUGAGAAUCCCGUAUUUGGUUAUUCAUUCUAGCUUUGUGAUACACUCUCAAAGAGUCAGGAUUGUUUGGGAAUGCAGUCCAAAAUGGGUGGUAAAUUUCAUCUAAAGCUAAAUAUUGGCGAGAGACCGAUAGCGAACAAGUACCGUGAGGGAAAGAUGAAAAGAACUUUGAAAAGAGAGUUAAACAGUACGUGAAAUUGUCAAAAGGGAAGCGUUUGACACCAGUGUUGUUUUUCCGAAAAUCAAUUACGAAUGGCUUGAUUUUGUGUUGUAUUGACCUUAUCAGCUUUCUGCACUUUUUUCGAGUCUUUCUUAAUGCACUUUUCGGUUAACAAGUCAACAUCAAUUUCUUUUGUUGUAAAAGAGUAUUCGGAAGGUGGCUUUCUUUUCGGAGAAAGUGUUUAUAGCCCUAUACUUCUACAAUCGGAGAGAUUGAGGUCUGCAGCGUAGAUCCUUCGGGGUUAGAUACACUUGUGCUAAGUUGUAGCUUUUCAUAGACAACUUGUUGACUAUGUUUAGUCAUGCGGCUUACUCGCUUGUGCUAUUUUACCUACGCUUAGGAUGUUGAACUACUGAGACAUAG
Molecule: ribosomal RNA, 774 nt
Filed under: uncultured Neocallimastigales
Lineage: Eukaryota; Fungi; Neocallimastigomycota; Neocallimastigomycetes; Neocallimastigales
Description: partial large subunit ribosomal RNA
Rfam family: Eukaryotic large subunit ribosomal RNA
Source: RNAcentral